This 1497-nucleotide long non-coding RNA is filed under the name Salmo trutta (river trout). Its description in RNAcentral is "lncRNA (ENSSTUG00000026417.1)". The record is from RNAcentral. Lineage: Eukaryota; Metazoa; Chordata; Actinopteri; Salmoniformes; Salmonidae.
AUGGCUUCUCUACAGCAGGGAGGGAGCUCUCCAACAUGGCCCCACUACAGCUGGAAGGGAGCUCUCCAACAUGGCCCCUCUACAGCAGGGAGGGAGCUCUCCAACAUGGCCCCUCUACAGCAGGGAGGGAGCUCUCCAACAUGGCCCCACUACAGCAGGGAGGGAGCUCUCCAACAUGGCCCCUCUACAGCAGGGAGGGAGCUCUCCAACAUAGCCCCACUACAGCAGGGAGGGAGUUCUCCAACAUGGCCCUACAACAGCAGGGAGGGAGCUCUCCAACAUGGCCCCACUACAGCAGGGAGGGAGCUCUCCAAUAUGGCCCCACUACAGCAGGGAGCUCUCCAACAUGGCCCCACUACAGCAGAGAGGCAGCUCUCCAACACGGCUCCUCUACAGCAGGGAGGGAGCUCUCCAACAUGGCCCCACUACAGCAGGGAGGGAGCUCUCCAACCUGGCCCCACUACAGCAGAGAGGCAGCUCUCCAACAUGGCCACUCUACAGCAGGGAGGGAGCUCUCCAACAUGGCCCCACAACAGCAGGGAGGGAGCUCUCCAACAUGGCCCCACUACAGCAGGGAGGGAGCUCUCCAACAUGGCCCCACUACAGCAGGGAGGGAGCUCUCCAACAUGGCCCUUCUACUGCAGGGAGGGAGCUCUCCAACAUGGCCCCAAUACAGCAGGGAGGGAGCUCUCCAACUUGGCCCCACUACAACAGGGAGGGAGCUCUCCAACAUGGCCCCACUACAGCAGGGAGGGCGCUCUCCAACAUGGCCCCACUACAGCAGGGAGGGAGCUCUCCAACAUGGCCCCUCUACAGCAGGGAGGGAGCUCUCCAACAUGGCCCCACUACAGCAGGAAGGGAGCUCUCCAACAUGGUCCCUCUACAGCAGGGAGGGAGCUCUCCAACAUGGCCCCUCUACAGCAGGGAGGGAGUUCUCCAACAUGGCCCCUCUACAGCAGGGAGGGAGCUCUCCAACAUAGCCCCACUACAGCAGGGAGGGAGUUCUCCAACAUGGCCCCACAACAGCAGGGAGGGAGUUCUCCAACAUGGCCCCACAACAGCAGGGAGGGAGCUCUCCAACAUGGCCCCACAACAGCAGGGAGGGAGCUCUCCAACAUGGCAGCAGGGAGGGAGCUCUCCAACAUGGCCCCACUACAGCAGGGAGGGAGCUCUCCAACAUGGCCCCACUACAGCAGAGAGGGCGCUCUCCAACAUGGCCCCACUACAGCAGGGAGGGAGCUCUCCAACAUGGCCCCACUACAGCAGGGAGGGAGCUCUCCAACAUGGCCCCACUACAGCAGGGAGGGAGCUCUCCAACAUGGCCCUACUACAGCAGGGAGGGAGCUCUCCAACAUGGCCCGACUACAGCGGGGAGGGAGCUCUCCAACAUGGCCCCUCUACAGCAGGGAGGGAGCUCUCCAACAUGGCCCCACUACAGCAGGGAGGGAGCUCUCCAACAUGGCCCCACUACAGCAGGGAGGGAGCUCUCAAACAUAG